GACAGAGUGCCGGAGUGGUUAACGGGAAAGACUUGAAAUCUUUUGACUUAGGUCGCGCAGGUUCGAAUCCUGUCUCUGUCG
RNAcentral lists this transfer RNA (81 nucleotides) under Pochonia chlamydosporia 123. RNAcentral's name for it is "tRNA-Ser (TGA) (tRNA-Ser-TGA-1-1)". It matches the Rfam family "tRNA". From Rfam's summary of the family: Transfer RNA (tRNA) molecules are approximately 80 nucleotides in length. Their secondary structure includes four short double-helical elements and three loops (D, anti-codon, and T loops). The record is from RNAcentral. Lineage: Eukaryota; Fungi; Ascomycota; Sordariomycetes; Hypocreales; Clavicipitaceae.